This 251-nucleotide ribosomal RNA is filed under the name uncultured bacterium. RNAcentral describes it as "partial 16S ribosomal RNA". It matches the Rfam family "Bacterial small subunit ribosomal RNA", at positions 525 to 775 of the family's 1533-position model. The record is from RNAcentral.
ACGUAGGGAGCAAGCGUUAUCCGGAUUUAUUGGGUGUAAAGGGUGCGUAGACGGAAAGACAAGUUAGUUGUGAAAUACCUCGGCUUAACUGAGGAACUGCAACUAAAACUAUCUAUCUUGAGUACUGGAGGGGAAAGCGGAAUUCCUAGUGUAGCGGUGAAAUGCGUAGAUAUUAGGAAGAACACCGGUGGCGAAGGCGGCUUUCUGGACAGUAACUGACGUUGAGGCACGAAAGUGUGGGGAGCAAACAG